RNAcentral lists this long non-coding RNA (851 nucleotides) under Medicago truncatula (barrel medic). Its description in RNAcentral is "long non-coding RNA (MTRU_LNC002462)". The record is from RNAcentral. Lineage: Eukaryota; Viridiplantae; Streptophyta; Magnoliopsida; Fabales; Fabaceae.
UUAACCAAGGUAGUCAAAACCGAACCGGACCGGCAGGUCCGACCGGCUGAACCGGGAACCGAACCAGUACCCGGUUCGGAAGACCCCAAAAACCGGGCUGCUAUAUAACCGGUAAGAAAACCGGAAAACCGGUCCAGAACCGGAAAAACCGGAGUUAGGCCGGUUGUGAGGUUAGACCGGAUUUUGAUUUUAUUAAACUUUUCUUAAUUAAAAAAAAAAAGCCCAGAUUUAUAAGCAUUAACAGCGUCAACAUCAAAAACCUGAAGAAUUGAUUUUGAAUUUUGAUAAGGAACAAAGAAAAGAGGGUCAUAGGGGAAAGAGAAGAGAAAGGUGUGAGUUAUUUUUCUUUUGGGAGUUUUUGCAACAAUAAGGGAUUUGAAGAAGUAGCAUGAUAGGUGAUGGUUUUGGAAAAAUAAAGGGAGGAAGAAGAAGAAUAGUGAAACCAUCGAACUGUAACAAAUGAAAGAGGAAUGCGGCUGCUUGUUUUUGAAAGUUUCAGAUUGAAAAUUUAGGGUUAGUCAAUGGAUUGGGCAUUUGGGCUUAUAAAGGAAGUCCAUGAAGAGUGACUUUUUAUUUUUUUUUUAAAAAACUUUAGGUGUAAGUGAAUUAAUAUUUGACCUUAGGCAUGCGUGUUCCACUUGUUAAUUUUUGUUUGCUUCAUAAAAAAUAUUAGGUGUUUAUUAAAAAAAAUAAUUUAGGUGUUACAAUAUUAUAACAAAGUUAUAUAUUUUUUAUUAGGAUAAUAUAUUAAACUAAUAAAAAAAUAUUUUUUAAUUAAAUCCGGUUGAACCUUAAAACCUUGAACCCGUGCUUACACCGGUUCAAUGUCCAGUCCGGUUUCAAUUACCUUG